GAUGAACGCUGGCGGCGUGCCUAAUACAUGCAAGUCGAGCGAACAGACGAGGAGCUUGCUCCUUCGACGUUAGCGGCGGACGGGUGAGUAACACGUAGGUAACCUACCUAUAAGACUGGGAUAACUUCGGGAAACCGGAGCUAAUACCGGAUAAUAUUUCGAACCGCAUGGUUCGAUAGUGAAAGAUGGCUUUGCUAUCACUUAUAGAUGGACCUGCGCCGUAUUAGCUAGUUGGUAAGGUAACGGCUUACCAAGGCAACGAUACGUAGCCGACCUGAGAGGGUGAUCGGCCACACUGGAACUGAGACACGGUCCAGACUCCUACGGGAGGCAGCAGUAGGGAAUCUUACGCAAUGGGCGAAAGCCUGACGGAGCAACGCCGCGUGAGUGAUGAAGGUCUUCGGAUCGUAAAACUCUGUUAUUAGGGAAGAACAACCGUGUAAGUAACUGUGCACGUCUUGACGGUACCUAAUCAGAAAGCCACGGCUAACUACGUG
RNAcentral lists this ribosomal RNA (497 nucleotides) under uncultured bacterium. RNAcentral's name for it is "partial 16S ribosomal RNA". It matches the Rfam family "Bacterial small subunit ribosomal RNA", at positions 28 to 507 of the family's 1533-position model. The record is from RNAcentral.